Capsella rubella is the source of this 1120-nucleotide RNA transcript. It is a transcript of the gene named protein FAR1-RELATED SEQUENCE 5, with no coding region annotated. The transcript is spliced from 3 exons. NCBI's taxonomy places the organism in Eukaryota, Viridiplantae, Streptophyta, Magnoliopsida, Brassicales, Brassicaceae. The record is from RefSeq and is a predicted model, not a curated record.
UUUUAAUUAAUGUAACUCUCUGUUUCGAUGAUUUUGUGGGAUUUUUUUAUUUGCUCCCUUUUGUCUAUUUUGCUUCUGUCUGUGCGUCAAAUUACGUAAUCUAAAUUCCCAGUUUCGCCGUCUGUAUGGAUCAAGUUUGCUUUUUCUUUCUGUUAUGGAUGAAACCCACUUUGGCCAAGUUCAGAAUUUGAUGGAAGAGCACUCUCAACCCGAAGAAGAGGAAGAGAUGAUGGAGAGUUCAGAUGGAAAAUAUAUAGUCACUAAUGAAACCUCUCCAUUGGUGGAGCCGUUCAUUGGAAUGGAGUUUGAAUCAGAAGCAUCUGCAAAGUCAUUCUAUGACAGUUAUGCCACAGUCAUGGGUUUCGUUAUGCGAGUGGAUGCUUUCAGGCGGUCAAUGCGAGAUGGGACCGUGGUGUGGCGCAGACUCGUGUGUAAUAAAGAAGGCUUCCGUAGAUUGAGACCUCGUAGAAGCGAGAGCAGGAAACCUCGAGCUAUAACAAGAGAAGGGUGUAAGGCUUUGAUCGUGGUGAAAAGAGAGAAAUCUGGAAAAUGGGUUGUCACUAAAUUUGUGAAAGAGCAUAAUCAUCCUCUCUCACCUAAUGUUGGCCGGAGUUCUCAGCUCUCUCAAACACCGGUACGUUUAUGCACUUAUCCUUUGGGGAAAACAGUGAUAACCAAACUAAAGAAGAGGAAAGACUUUAGUAUUGUAGAGGAGUUUUUUUCUUUUUCCAGGUGAUCUGGAUCAUUUGAUUACCUAAACAAAAUUAUAUCAGAUAUAUUGCAGAAUCUUGUUAACUGAUGCUAUUGCCUUUUAGAGUGCGUUUGAGCAACGUUGACAUUGAUCUCUGACAUACCAAGAGCAUAAAGCUCUGUCCGUUUUCCUCUGAACUAAAUGUAUUGAUCUUGAAAUCUUGUACUAAUGGAUUUUUCGGGACGAGAAAGACGCAAAGAUUCGUGAGCUGAGUGCAGAGCUGAGCCGAGAGAGAAAGCGUUGUGCUGCGUUGCAACAGCAGCUUGAUAUGGUCUUAGAGGAGAUGGAAGAACAUUCCAACCAUCUCUCCACCAACAUCAAUAAUGUUAUCCAAAGUUGUUAUAUUCUCCAUUCUCGGAAACAAACAAA